RNAcentral lists this ribosomal RNA (253 nucleotides) under uncultured bacterium. RNAcentral's name for it is "partial 16S ribosomal RNA". It matches the Rfam family "Bacterial small subunit ribosomal RNA", at positions 524 to 776 of the family's 1533-position model. The record is from RNAcentral.
CACGUAGGGCGCAAGCGUUGUCCGGAAUUAUUGGGCGUAAAGAGCUCGUAGGCGGCCUGUCGCGUCCGCUGUGAAAUCCCGGGGCUUAACCCCGGGCGUGCAGUGGAUACGGGCUGGCUGGAGGCAGGCAGGGGAGAACGGAAUUCCCGGUGUAGCGGUGAAAUGCGCAGAUAUCAGGAAGAACACCCGUGGCGAAGGCGGCUCUCUGGGCCGUAACUGACGCUGAGGAGCGAAAGCGUGGGGAGCGAACAGG